UGCCAGCCGCCGCGGUAAUACGUAAGUCCCAAGCAUUACACGGAAUCACUGGGUGUAAAGCGUUUGUAGGCUGGUGAAUAAGUCAAAUGUGAAUGGCUGGGGCUCAACCCCAUGCUUGUAUUCGAAACUGUUCAUCUAGAAUCAGGGAGAGGUGAGCGGAAUUCUAAGUGUAGGGGUGCAAUCCGUAGAUACUUAGAAGAACACCAAAAGCGAAGGCAGCUUACUGGAACUGUAUUGACGCUGAGAAACGAAAGCGUGGGUAGCGAAAAGGAUUAGAUA
RNAcentral lists this ribosomal RNA (279 nucleotides) under uncultured bacterium. Its description in RNAcentral is "partial 16S ribosomal RNA". It matches the Rfam family "Bacterial small subunit ribosomal RNA", at positions 506 to 784 of the family's 1533-position model. The record is from RNAcentral.